RNAcentral lists this transfer RNA (72 nucleotides) under Loxodonta africana (African savanna elephant). It matches the Rfam family "tRNA". From Rfam's summary of the family: Transfer RNA (tRNA) molecules are approximately 80 nucleotides in length. Their secondary structure includes four short double-helical elements and three loops (D, anti-codon, and T loops). The record is from Rfam by way of RNAcentral. Lineage: Eukaryota; Metazoa; Chordata; Mammalia; Proboscidea; Elephantidae.
GCCCUGGUGGCGCAGUGGUUAAGAGCCUGGCUGCUAACCAAAAGGUUGGUGGUUCAAACUCACCCUGCGGCU